Molecule: unclassified non-coding RNA, 124 nt
Organism: Neogale vison (American mink)
Lineage: Eukaryota; Metazoa; Chordata; Mammalia; Carnivora; Mustelidae
Source: Ensembl
CUUGCGCUGAGUAAAUGAAGUGGACCUGAGUUGUGGCUGCGAACCCGAGGCUCAGAGCCUACACGCCAAACAAAAUUCCCUCCUCUUGGGGUCGCUCGUCCUAAAGACGCAGGACACGGUGAGG